Molecule: ribosomal RNA, 458 nt
Filed under: uncultured eukaryote
Lineage: Eukaryota
Description: eukaryotic LSU rRNA
Rfam family: Eukaryotic large subunit ribosomal RNA
Source: RNAcentral
AGUGUGCGUAGGACCGGAAAAACCAACACGCGUAAUGAAAGUAACAGGUGCCAAGCGCAAGCAGCAGCAUCGGCCGACCAUGAUCAUUAGAGAAAGGUUUGAGUAUGAGCAUAUUUGUUAGGACCCGAAAGAUGGUGAACUAUGCUUGAGUAGGGUGAAGUCAGGGGAAACUCUGAUGGAGGCUCGUAGCGAUACUGACGUGCAAAUCGUUCGUCAAACUUGAGUAUAGGGGCGAAAGACUAAUCGAACCAUCUAGUAGCUGGUUCCUCCCGAAGUUUCUCUCAGGAUAGCAAGAUCAAUAUUGCAGUUUUAUCAGGUAAAGCGAAUGAUUAGAGGAUUCUGGGGAGUAAUUCCCUAGACCUAUUCUCAAACUUUAAAUUGGUAAGAACUCGUUAUUUCUUAAUUGAAUAGCGGGGAUGAAUGCAUGAUCUUAGUGGGCCAUUUUUGGUAAGCAGGAC